CCUACGGGUGGCAGCAGUGAGGAAUAUUGGUCAAUGGGCGAGAGCCUGAACCAGCCAAGUCGCGUGAGGGAGGACGGCCCUACGGGUUGUAAACCUCUUUUGCCGGGGGACAAACGGCGGCACGCGUGCCGUCCUGAGGGUCCCCGGAGACAAAGCAUCGGCUAACUCCGUGCCAGCAGCCGCGGUAAUACGGAGGAUGCGAGCGUUAUCCGGAUUUAUUGGGUUUAAGGGGUGCGUAGGCGGGAUGCAAAGUCCGCGGGUACAUACGGGGGCUCAACCUGCGUCCGCCGUUGAAACUGGCGUUCGUGAGUGGACGAGAAGUACGCGGAAUGCGUGGUGUAGCGGUGAAAUGCAUAGAUAUCACGCAGAACCCCGAUUGCGAAGGCAGCGUACCGGCGCCCGACUGACGCUGAAGCACGAAAGCGUGGGUAUCGAACAGGAUUAGAUACCCGGGUAGUC
This 459-nucleotide ribosomal RNA is filed under the name uncultured bacterium. RNAcentral describes it as "partial 16S ribosomal RNA". It matches the Rfam family "Bacterial small subunit ribosomal RNA", at positions 338 to 795 of the family's 1533-position model. The record is from RNAcentral.